Molecule: ribosomal RNA, 253 nt
Filed under: uncultured bacterium
Lineage: Bacteria
Description: partial 16S ribosomal RNA
Rfam family: Bacterial small subunit ribosomal RNA
Source: RNAcentral
UACGUAGGGUGCAAGCGUUGUCCGGAAUUACUGGGCGUAAAGAGUGUGUAGGCGGUGCUCUAAGUUCGGUGUGAAAUCUCCUGGCUUAACUGGGAGGGUGCGCCGGAAACUGGAGUGCUUGAGCGUGGGAGAGGAAAGCGGAAUUCCUGGUGUAGCGGUGAAAUGCGUAGAUAUCAGGAGGAACACCUGUGGUGUAGACGGCUUUCUGGACCAUUGCUGACGCUGAGACACGAAAGCGUGGGUAGCAAACAGG